RNAcentral lists this ribosomal RNA (429 nucleotides) under Chloroflexota bacterium. RNAcentral describes it as "Chloroflexi bacterium partial 16S ribosomal RNA". It matches the Rfam family "Bacterial small subunit ribosomal RNA", at positions 355 to 776 of the family's 1533-position model. Lineage: Bacteria; Bacillati; Chloroflexota. The record is from RNAcentral.
UGGGGAAUAUUGCACAAUGGGCGCAAGCCUGAUGCAGCCAUGCCGCGUGUAUGAAGAAGGCCUUCCGGUUGUAAAGUACUUUCAGCGGGGAGGAAGGGAGUAAAGUUAAUACCUUUGCUCAUUGACGUUACCCGCAGAAGAAGCACCGGCUAACUCCGUGCCAGCAGCCGCGGUAAUACGGAGGGUGCAAGCGUUAAUCGGAAUUACUGGGCGUAAAGCGCACGCAGGCGGUUUGUUAAGUCAGAUGUGAAAUCCCCGGGCUCAACCUGGGAACUGCAUCUGAUACUGGCAAGCUUGAGUCUCGUAGAGGGGGGUAGAAUUCCAGGUGUAGCGGUGAAAUGCGUAGAGAUCUGGAGGAAUACCGGUGGCGAAGGCGGCCCCCUGGACGAAGACUGACGCUCAGGUGCGAAAGCGUGGGGAGCAAACAGG